This 109-nucleotide transfer RNA is filed under the name Ustilago trichophora. It matches the Rfam family "tRNA". Rfam says of the family: Transfer RNA (tRNA) molecules are approximately 80 nucleotides in length. Lineage: Eukaryota; Fungi; Basidiomycota; Ustilaginomycetes; Ustilaginales; Ustilaginaceae. The record is from Rfam by way of RNAcentral.
UCCGAAUUAGUUUAGUGGCUAUGACGGCGCCUUGUCAUCUUCGGAUGCUUCAACCAAGUUCUCCGCGCAUAAUACGGCGCAGACCCGGGUUCAAUUCCCGGAUUCGGAG